This 253-nucleotide ribosomal RNA is filed under the name uncultured bacterium. RNAcentral describes it as "partial 16S ribosomal RNA". It matches the Rfam family "Bacterial small subunit ribosomal RNA", at positions 524 to 776 of the family's 1533-position model. The record is from RNAcentral.
UACGGGGGGGGCAAGCGUUGUUCGGAAUUACUGGGCGUAAAGAGCUCGUAGGCGGUUUGUUGCGUCGGCUGUGAAAUCCCGAGGCUCAACCUCGGGUCUGCAGUCGAUACGAGCAAACUGGAGUGUUGCAGGGGAGACUGGAAUUCCUGGUGUAGCGGUGGAAUGCGCAGAUAUCAGGAGGAACACCGGUGGCGAAGGCGGGUCUCUGGGCAACAACUGACGCUGAGGAGCGAAAGCGUGGGGAGCGAACAGG